UACGGAGGGUGCAAGCGUUAUCCGGAUUCACUGGGUUUAAAGGGUGCGUAGGUGGGCAGGUAAGUCAGUGGUGAAAUCUCCGGGCUUAACCCGGAAACUGCCAUUGAUACUAUCUGUCUUGAAUAUCGUGGAGGUGAGCGGAAUAUGUCAUGUAGCGGUGAAAUGCUUAGAUAUGACAUAGAACACCAAUUGCGAAGGCAGCUCACUACACGAAUAUUGACACUGAGGCACGAAAGCGUGGGGAUCAAACAGG
This 253-nucleotide ribosomal RNA is filed under the name uncultured bacterium. Its description in RNAcentral is "partial 16S ribosomal RNA". It matches the Rfam family "Bacterial small subunit ribosomal RNA", at positions 524 to 776 of the family's 1533-position model. The record is from RNAcentral.